Hemicordylus capensis (graceful crag lizard) is the source of this 3651-nucleotide RNA transcript. RefSeq lists it as uncharacterized. The transcript has 11 exons. The record is from RefSeq and is a predicted model, not a curated record. Lineage: Eukaryota; Metazoa; Chordata; Lepidosauria; Squamata; Cordylidae.
UUUGUCUUGUUUUUGUUUGGGGAGUUGUUGUUUUUUGCUGUUUUAUUUGAGUUAGAUUGAGUUAGGUGUUAGUGUUAGUGUAGGAAUCUUUCAUCGUCGAGGAACAGCGAUCCUGCUUAUUAUGUUGCGCAGGAUCCGAGGCUUCUUUUCCAGGAGGAGCAGUCGGGUGGCCCCCCUGGAUGCCCCAGGGGAGCCCACAGCCUCCAAGCCAGCUGCCUGCCCCUGUUGGUGGUGCAUCUGUGGGAGGAAGAACCGGGUGGCCCCUGCUCCCACCGUGCUGCCUCCCUCGCUGCCGCCAGUUGGGGAGAGCAGCGAGCCCGGGCCGUCAGCGCCCCCCGUGCAGGAUGCUGGAGCUUCCAGCCCCUGCCAUCUCAUUCACGCCAGGCUGCAGAGGGUACAUCAAGCCGGAACGCUGAAGGAAGGAGGCGGAGGGAAGGAGCGGAGGGGCAGGAUGGCUUUCCUGAUGGCCCUGAUCCAGGCCUGCCAGGAAGCCAUCCGGAGGGGGGAGCAGCGCCUUCCGUUUUCGAAAGGGCUGGCCGCCCAGGCCGUGCUGGAGGAGAUGGCCUACAUCUGGGAGGACCCCGUGCCCCACCACCUCUUCUCCCUCUGCACAGAGGCCAUUGCCUCCUUAAGUUGGAUGAAGCCCUGCUUGGGAGCCAAAAUGGAGCAAAAGCUCAUCUCAGAAUCCAUCUUCUGGAUGAACCAUAUGAUUGGAGGAGAGCCGGAGGAAGACCGAGAAAGCCCGUUUCUGCCCCCGCAGAGGUCCAUGAGGAGGAUGCUGGAAGCAAUGCUCACUGAGAAGCCCACCCUGGCCCACCUCAUCAGGAUUGCUGAGGCCAUAGACGCUGAGAUUUUCAGCGAGGAUGAGGAGGAGGCAGCCAUGGCGGAGAAUGUUGGAUUCUUGCUCCUCAACAUGGCCAUUGGACCCCCCUUCUAUUUUGAGGCAGAGCAGAUCAAGCCACUCCUGCCACUGGGCAUUCGGAGGGUGGGCCGAACGACAUCCAGGGCCAAGGGCGAUGGGAGCCAUUCCUCCGAUUAAGACGACCUCUUCGUGUGAGCGUUGGAAUUUGAGGACAACUGAGAGAUACUGGCCGACCAAAUUCAGCUGGGGAAGCCGUUUGGGAAUUCCAGCCCGGAAGCCUCCUCCUUUCCCCGGGGGUGGGCAGGGCCCCUUUUGCAAACUAAGCCCUGCCCGUCUCCUCUCUCAACCAACAGACCUCUUCGAGCCAGGAGAGGACCUUGAGGGGAGCCAACAUGGAGGUGAAUGGCUGGAGUUUUCAGAGCUCCUCCGAAACACUUGUGUUUUUCCUGUCAGUGCCGAUCUGCAUACUUCCUCAAGUCAAACCGUUUGCAGAUAAAAAGAGAACUCCAACUUGAUUUACUACGACAAUAGAUAGAACUUUAAUAUGGGACGGAAAAAACGCUCGCGUGCAUAGUAUCGUGCCAGAGGGGAUGGUAAAGCAAGUGGGACUGAACAACCAUUCGGGACAGAAAAAUGAGAUACUGACUCAAAUUUCCUCGAAUGAAGGAGAAAAAAGGCAUAAUACUCCUUAUGAUUAUAUUGAUCUAGCCCUUGACGGAUCACAGAACACCCCAAAGACGUUACUAGAAAUUGCAGGACUUGGUGAGCCUCCAGAAAACCUCUGAUGAACCUCAGUCAAGGAUUAAUUUUUUAGAACCACAAGCUUUCGCUGAUCUUGCUGAGCUCUCUAUGGAACAUGACUCAGUGGCGGACCUGCAAAACCAAGGUCCAAUACACAAUAACCAACUCUUGACUGACCAUGUGAGAGUAGCCCUGUAUGAAAAUGCUCAAUUGAAGGAAAAUAGCUGGAGGGGGAUACUAACUGACCCUCAUUUGGAUAACAUCACAGCUCUACUGACACCUACAGUAAGGACAAUUCCUCGCCAAAGAGAGAUGCCCAGACUAGGUUCGGUAAAGAUACUUUUAGUGUAAACAGCUUCCUAGAGCAAGAGAUCAAGCGACUCCCUGAUUUAGACACAGUUUCAUCGAGGACAAUAACUCCGCUGGACAAUGAGUGCUGCAAUAGAUCUUUGCAGAGAACAUCUGAAAUAAUGGGACAGAUCCAGGGACCUACCCCGUCUGAACAGGGAAACAUGCUGCUUGUAGAUUGACAUUCAAAGCCUUUUAACCAGGUUGCAACACUUGUAUGGAAUGUGGCUGACUUAAGGUCUGAAAUUACAGACCCUGAUUUUAUGUCCUUUAUCACCAAGCACGAGAGAUUGAUAAUGCAGGAAACUUGGUGGACAGAAGAUAUUACUCUUCCUGGUUGUAUAUCGAUUUCAUUAAAUACGGGAAGAACUGCAUGCAGAGGCAGACCGAGUGGUGGCUUGCCAGUCUUGGCCUCCACAGCUCUGACUUCACAACUGUCCCUGCUUACUAGGACCUUACUAGGAGAGGACCUGGAUUUUGGUGACGUUCUCCAGGAGUAGCUCCCUUCCACUGCAAGCCCCAGGACAAACCUGGCAAGAAAGUGAAAUGCAAGAAGAAGAUCCUAGGAGAAGAUCCCCGUGUGGUUCUUGCCACCUUGGAUUGGGCUGAGCAGAACCAGGAUCUCCAGGAAGGCAAGUCCAUGAGUGGGGUACCCAGUGUGGUUGUCCAUGGGGAUCUGGCCAAGGGUUGUAGUGGCAUGUCAGAAGGAGAGGAUGUUAUUUGUGUUGUGGUUGAAGAGCUUGUGUACCAAACAUUUCAAGGCUGCUUUGACCUGAAAGAAUUCUGAGUCAAUUUGAUGUAACCAUGUGAUGUCAUUUGUAGAAAUGGUUGUCCAGGGCUAAGCUGGUAUCAGCGUCAAGGUGCUGGACUGACUUGGCCUGAACCAAGUAUAUUCUCGAGACCCUAAAGACCUUGGACGAAGGUUUAUGGACAGAGGGACAGGAAAUGUCUUGUGGGCAGCUGAAAUCGCUGGCCAACGGAAGUUUCUCAAAAGGGAGUCUGUCAAAAAGAAAAGGAAUCACAAGAAUGUGGACAUAGGCAGACCUUGUGACUUUGUGCAACAGGUGACCUUCUGGACUAACGACCAUGUGGUUCAGUGGUCACGGACUAUGAGGACUUUGGGCUCCAAGUGGCAAAGGUGGUCCUGGACGCUGCAAGAGUCACAGAUGCGGGUCCAGCAUGUGCCUGGCAAAGAAAACACCCUCAAGGAGUUUUCUCUGUCUGGAGAGGGGGAAUCUCAGCCUGGAAGGAUGGCCUGGAUGUGGCCCACAAGUACCCUCUGAAGACCAGCGCUGAAAUCCUGGAAGGGCCAGGCAGUAUUGAGCCCCAGACCUCUGCCGAGAGCAGGACAAGAGACUGCCCAUCCAGCAAGCCAGACGCCGAGAAGAGAGAGAAUCCAGAGAACUCUGUGCAGGGACCAGUGUAGGGUGUUAGAUUCUGCCUGCCUGGAACAUAAUGGGAACUGGGCUUCCGAGAAGACUUGUUCAGUUCGGCGGGGCUGAAUUGGUAUUUUCCAUUCAGUGGGGCCAUCCCGAGGUCUGUUGUGUUCGAGGGGGAACCCGUGGGUGUAGCAGAUGUGAAUAGGAAAUUCGGAUUCCUUCCCUCGCUUUGGUUCCGGUUCAGCCCAACGUCAACUUUGUUUACGGUGAACGAUCCCAGCACUCGCUCCCCAAGGAAACACACAGCCAUGAGCCAUCUUC